This 493-nucleotide unclassified non-coding RNA is filed under the name uncultured Glomus. Its description in RNAcentral is "SSU rRNA". It matches the Rfam family "Eukaryotic small subunit ribosomal RNA", at positions 569 to 1067 of the family's 1831-position model. The record is from RNAcentral. Lineage: Eukaryota; Fungi; Glomeromycota; Glomeromycetes; Glomerales; Glomeraceae.
AGCAGCCGCGGUAAUUCCAGCUCCAAUAGCGUAUAUUAAAGUUGUUGCAGUUAAAAAGCUCGUAGUUGAAUUUCGGGGUUAGUAGUUUGGUCGUGCCAAUGGUAUGUACUGGGCUCACUGAUUCCUCCUUCCUGAUGAACUGUAAUGCCAUUAAUUUGGUGUUGCAGGGAAACAGGACUGUUACUUUGAAAAAUUAGAGUGUUUAAAGCAAGCUAACGCUUGAAUACAUUAGCAUGGAAUAAUGAAAUAGGACGUUCGAACCUAUUUUGUUGGUUUCUAGGAUUGACGUAAUGAUUAAUAGGGAUAGUUGGGGGCAUUAGUAUUCAAUUGUCAGAGGUGAAAUUCUUGGAUUUAUUGAAGACUAACUACUGCGAAAGCAUUUGCCAAGGAUGUUUUCAUUAAUCAAGAACGAAAGUUAGGGGAUCGAAGACGAUCAGAUACCGUCGUAGUCUUAACCAUAAACUAUGCCGACUAGGGAUCGGAUGAUGUUAAU